GACAAGCGGUGGAGCAUGUGGUUUAAUUCGACGCAACGCGAAGAACCUUACCUGGGCUUGACAUCUGGGGAAUCUCAUGGAAACAUGGGAGUGCGGAGCAAUCUGAACCCCAAGACAGGUGCUGCAUGGCUGUCGUCAGCUCGUGUCGUGAGAUGUUGGGUUAAGUCCCGCAACGAGCGCAACCCUUGUCUCUAGUUGCCAUCAUUCAGUUGGGCACUCUAGCGAGACUGCCGGUAAUAAACCGGAGGAAGGUGGGGAUGACGUCAAAUCAUCAUGCCCCUUAUGACCUGGGCUACACACGUGCUACAAUGGUUGGUACAACGAGUUGCGAGUCGGUGACGACGAGCUAAUCUCUUAAAGCCAAUCUCAGUUCGGAUUGUAGGCUGCAACUCGCCUACAUGAAGUCGGAAUCGCUAGUAAUCGCGGAUCAGCACGCCGCGGUGAAUACGUUCCCGGGCCUU
RNAcentral lists this ribosomal RNA (461 nucleotides) under uncultured Streptococcus sp. Its description in RNAcentral is "bacterial SSU rRNA". It matches the Rfam family "Bacterial small subunit ribosomal RNA", at positions 924 to 1382 of the family's 1533-position model. The record is from RNAcentral. Lineage: Bacteria; Bacillati; Bacillota; Bacilli; Lactobacillales; Streptococcaceae.